CCUACGGGAGGCAGCAGUGGGGAAUAUUGGGCAAUGGGCGCAAGCCUGACCCAGCAACGCCGCGUGAAGGAAGAAGGCUUUCGGGUUGUAAACUUCUUUUGUCAGGGAAGAUGAACAGACUGUACCUGACGAAUAAGCCACGGCUAACUACGUGCCAGCAGCCGCGGUAAUACGUAGGUGGCAAGCGUUGUCCGGAUUUACUGGGUGUAAAGGGCGUGUAGGCGGGAUUGCAAGUCAGGCGUGAAAACCAGGGGCUCAACCUCUGGCCUGCGUUUGAAACUGUAGUUCUUGAGUACUGGAGAGGUUGACGGAAUUCCUAGUGUAGCGGUGAAAUGCGUAGAUAUUAGGAGGAACACCAGUGGCGAAGGCGGUCAACUGGACAGCAACUGACGCUGAGGCGCGAAAGCGUGGGGAGCAAACAGGA
RNAcentral lists this ribosomal RNA (424 nucleotides) under uncultured Citrobacter sp. RNAcentral describes it as "bacterial SSU rRNA". It matches the Rfam family "Bacterial small subunit ribosomal RNA", at positions 338 to 777 of the family's 1533-position model. Lineage: Bacteria; Pseudomonadati; Pseudomonadota; Gammaproteobacteria; Enterobacterales; Enterobacteriaceae. The record is from RNAcentral.